Molecule: non-coding RNA, 203 nt
Organism: Oryza meridionalis
Lineage: Eukaryota; Viridiplantae; Streptophyta; Magnoliopsida; Poales; Poaceae
Source: Rfam
UUUAAAUGCAAUUAUAAGUUUUCACGCCUAACUUUAAUCGUCUCUGUCUUAUUUGAAAAUUUUUUGUAAUUAGUAUUUUCUUAUGAGAUGAUAAAACACAAAUGGUACUUUACUCGUGACUUAUGUUUUUAAUUUUUUUCAAAAAAAUUUCAAAUAAGAUGAACGGUCAAAGUUAGACGCGGAAAACCAUGGCUGCACUUAUU